UUUCGCCUGUUUAUCAAAAACAUCGCCUCUUGAAAACCACACAUAAGAGGUCCCGCCUGCCCGGUGACCCUGGGUUAAACGGCCGCGGUAUCUUGACCGUGCGAAGGUAGCGCAAUCACUUGUCCUUUAAAUGAGAACCUGUAUGAAUGGCUAGACGAGGGCUUAACUGUCUCCUCCCCCCAGUCAAUGAAAUUGAUCUCCCCGUGCAGAAGCGGGGAUACACCCAUAAGACGAGAAGACCCUAUGGAGCUUUAGACACUAGACAGCCCACGUUACACCCCCUCCCCUAAGAAGGAAAAACACUGUGGCCCCUGCCUCCCCUGUCUUCGGUUGGGGCGACCGCGGAGGAUAAAAGAGCCUCCAUGUGGACCAAGGUUACUAACCUCAAAACUAAGGGCCACUGCCCUAAGCAACAGAAAAUCUGACCAGAAUGAUCCGGCGAAUGCCGAUUAACGGAACAAGUUACCCUAGGGAUAACAGCGCAAUCCUCUCCCAGAGUCCUAUCCGACGAGGGGGUUUACGACCUCGAUGUUUGGAUUCANGACAUCCNANUGGGUUGCANCCGCUUAAUAAGGGGUUCGUUUUGUUCAAACGAUUAAAGGUCCCUACGUGGAUCUGAGUUCAAAACCCGGG
RNAcentral lists this ribosomal RNA (633 nucleotides) under Neosalanx tangkahkeii. RNAcentral describes it as "partial 16S ribosomal RNA". It matches the Rfam family "Bacterial large subunit ribosomal RNA", at positions 1794 to 2622 of the family's 2925-position model. The record is from RNAcentral. Lineage: Eukaryota; Metazoa; Chordata; Actinopteri; Osmeriformes; Salangidae.